Scylla paramamosain (green mud crab) is the source of this 1178-nucleotide long non-coding RNA. RefSeq lists it as uncharacterized. The record is from RefSeq and is a predicted model, not a curated record. The transcript has 3 exons. Lineage: Eukaryota; Metazoa; Arthropoda; Malacostraca; Decapoda; Portunidae.
ACGAGAUUUUCUGCUUGCUUUUGUUUCGUUAAGAUGAUAAUUAUGAUUUUUAUGGUAGAUAGGUGAUGAAAAGAUGACAGUAUACAGUAAGAGGUGACAGAGCUAGUGAAAAAGAGCGAAUGACGGUAAGUACAAAUUAUAUUAAUAGAAGCAACAAGUACACCAGAAUAACCUCACUACCUGUCAACCUUCUCGAGGUAACAAGGCAGAUUUGGAUAGGACGAACGAAUGGACGGAUAGAUGGCAAAUACAGUUUAAUGUUAUCAAAUGUAAGGUACUUAGCGUGUGUAGGAAAAAAAAAAAAAACAAUGUGCGCAAUAAAGAACGAAACUUGUAAAUUCAGAGAAGAAUAAAGAUUUUAGUUAUAGUUAGCUACGAUCCCCGCCUAAGAAAACAAUGCAGAGACUAAAAAUAAAACUGGUUAUUAGAAUUAAUCUUUUAAAGGUAUAUACAACAACAAUUUCAACUUUAAUUUAUUACUUUGCAUAUUUAAAGACACCAAAUUAAUGACAUGGAAGCUAAUACACAAGAAGAUUGUGGGGAAGGGAUCGGAGCUGAAACGCUUUAAUUGCUGGUUGUCUCACCACUUUUAUUUCAAAUGCCACAGAGGUGACUACCCGAGUUCUCCAUUGCGUUUCUCUGUUAAUAAAAUAGAAAUCGUGUUAAUCUGUCAAUAGAACCAUAAAAACAUCCUUAAAAACCUAUCCAACUUCAUUUAGAGUCAUCAGUUUUCGAGGUGCGGCUAAGUGUUUCAGAAUACAGUUCGUUGUCUAGUCUUCCAGCCUCUCGUCUCCGCGCAGUCCGUUUCACCACUAGCAGUGACAGAGAGGUCGAGGUGCAGAGGUCUCGUGGCGAGACGCUGAAGGAGGCGGUGAAGGGAGGCACCAGGGAACUCUCGGUGUGUACUGACGGAGGCGCGUGUGGUGCAGCGCUGGUGACUUCCCGAGAGCCGGUGACCACCACCCCUUACCGGGAUGGGGGUUGUUCUACGGUGAGCCUCCUGCUCUUCCUAACCGCACGAGUCAACAUCCCCACCCCGACAACUCAGGGCGCGGAGCAGAGGUAGAGGAGUACAGGGAAGAGACUUUUAAUCAUCGAUUGGCCUUGAUUUGUGUCAUGGAAGUGAUUUUGUAUGUUUCUAGUGUGAAUUAUAUAGUUUUUAUGUUUUUGUUUUAUGU